CGGCCGUGGCUUGUUUGACGGGUUUGGAUGGGAGACGUGACGGAGCAGCGGUGUCCGGCAGCCAGAACCAAACUAACGUGCUCCAUCCACUGCAGCCGCAGAGGCAAAGCAUUGCUUGUUCAUAGCAAAAUCAAUUAUCCCUCUGGCUGCAGAUACAUCCUGGUGCUUCAUUGGGGAUUUGUCUGUGUGGAUGGAGUCCUGCAUGUCAGAGUGGCACCAGGUGAUGAGCUGGGCAGCAGAGCAGCUUGCGUGCUCCUGCUGUACCUGAUGUCACAUUGGUGUGGUCACUGGCAGCGUCUUGAGGACGUCUGGUAA
This 315-nucleotide long non-coding RNA is filed under the name Zonotrichia albicollis (white-throated sparrow). Its description in RNAcentral is "lncRNA (ENSZALG00000016341.1)". The record is from RNAcentral. Lineage: Eukaryota; Metazoa; Chordata; Aves; Passeriformes; Passerellidae.